RNAcentral lists this ribosomal RNA (280 nucleotides) under uncultured bacterium. Its description in RNAcentral is "partial 16S ribosomal RNA". It matches the Rfam family "Archaeal small subunit ribosomal RNA", at positions 456 to 735 of the family's 1478-position model. The record is from RNAcentral.
UGCCAGCAGCCGCGGUAACACGGGGGGCCCGAGUGGUAAUCACUUUUAUUGGGUCUAAAGGGUCCGUAGCCGGUUUGAUCAGUUCUUCGGGAAAUCUGACAGCUCAACUGUUAGGCUUCCGGGGAAUACUGUCAGACUUGGGACUGGGAGAGGUAAGAGGUACUACAGGGGUAGGAGUGAAAUCUUGUAAUCCCUGUGGGACCACCAGUGGCGAAGGCGUCUUACCAGAACAGGUCCGACGGUGAGGGACGAAAGCUGGGGGCACGAACAGGAUUAGAUA